CUGAUGUGACAUUUUCCUCUGUGACAGUAGUGGACGCAGAAGAUGCAGCUGUGGCCAAGAGGAAGUUGAGGAAAUAAAAAGAAGGAAUUGGGGGUGAACAUGUGAACUGAAAUCUUGGUGAAAGGUACAUCCAGACAUCCGGAUAAGUAGAUCCAGAUCACAGCACUGUUCCGGGAUGGCUACCAAGAUAUUCCCAAACACUCCCCAGGCACCUUUGUGGCCAUGUGCUGAUGAUGUGGUUGUUCCAGGAAGCAGUGAUUUGCUUUUGGAGAUUAGGCUGUUUGGUGACUUGCAUGAAAAAAGGGAAUCCCACCAGGACAGGCCAUCCUAUACAGCUGGAGAAGAUUUGCCUCUAGCAAAGCCACGGAUCCAGCAGGAUCCCUCUAGCCACACAAUCUUCUCCCUGGCACUACGUGGUGGUGUCAACAGUACUGUGUCCUCUGAUACCCCAAAGGAUGCCUCCAGCUCCAGAAGAUGGGUCUCAGCUAGAGAUAGAAAAAAAGCAAAGCUAAAUUUUGUUAGAUGAUUUCAAAAUGAACAUCAAUUCUUUCCUUCUGUGAAUGCUUUUCUUAUUUUCUUAGCACAGUAUGAUGUGUGAUAUCUAUCUAGAUAGCCAUGUUCUUACGUUCACAGUACCCUCUUGAGCAAAACCAGUCAUAUCAAGUAUCUAAACUCCUAGUUCCUUGAGCGUGUAUUGCUUGAAUUCAGUGUCAUUUCCUGAAGUGACUAAAUGUGUUUACGGUAGAUCCUUAUCAAUAUGCUUCUACCCAAGUAGCUAUAAGCUGGGCCUGAACAGUACGGUAUGUACCAGCUAUCUUUCCUGACA
Egretta garzetta (little egret) is the source of this 826-nucleotide long non-coding RNA. RefSeq lists it as uncharacterized. The transcript has 3 exons. The record is from RefSeq and is a predicted model, not a curated record. Lineage: Eukaryota; Metazoa; Chordata; Aves; Pelecaniformes; Ardeidae.